RNAcentral lists this transfer RNA (75 nucleotides) under Beggiatoa sp. IS2. RNAcentral's name for it is "tRNA-Pro". It matches the Rfam family "tRNA". From Rfam's summary of the family: Transfer RNA (tRNA) molecules are approximately 80 nucleotides in length. Their secondary structure includes four short double-helical elements and three loops (D, anti-codon, and T loops). Further hydrogen bonds mediate the characteristic L-shaped molecular structure. tRNAs have two regions of fundamental functional importance: the anti-codon, which is responsible for specific mRNA codon recognition, and the 3' end, to which the tRNAs corresponding amino acid is attached (by aminoacyl-tRNA synthetases). tRNAs cope with the degeneracy of the genetic code in two manners: having more than one tRNA (with a specific anti-codon) for a particular amino acid; and 'wobble' base-pairing, i.e. permitting non-standard base-pairing at the 3rd anti-codon position. The record is from RNAcentral. Lineage: Bacteria; Pseudomonadati; Pseudomonadota; Gammaproteobacteria; Thiotrichales; Thiotrichaceae.
CGGGGUGUAGCUCAGUCUGGCUAGAGCAUUGCUUUCGGGAGGCAAGGGUCGGAGGUUCAAGUCCUCUCACCCCGA